Molecule: long non-coding RNA, 1540 nt
Filed under: Spirodela polyrhiza (greater duckweed)
Lineage: Eukaryota; Viridiplantae; Streptophyta; Magnoliopsida; Alismatales; Araceae
Description: long non-coding RNA (SPOL_LNC001524)
Source: RNAcentral
GCUGAUCCCCUCCUUGUCAGCUAGGGUUUUGAAAACUGCUCGCCGAACUCUUCGGCUUUUCUUGUUGGGGAGGAGGAACUGGUCACGAUGGUGGCCCAGGUUGCCGGUUCUUUUCUUGCCAUUUCGGCUUUUCCCCGUUACAGCUCUCCGAAUACGGGAUCCACGUGCAAUUAUCCAGGAAUUGGAUUCCCGGGCACCGUAAGCGUCCCUGUUCUUUUGGGUUGUCUUCUUGUUUCCCUGGACGGACGAUAACUACGUCGCUCGUUUUAGCUAGAUAUGUGGAGCGUUUUUCGUAUUUUCAAUUCGUCGUCGGCCGGUUGGGAAAUUUUCCGAGUUCUUUUGGCCCUUCCCCGUUAUUUUCGAGAAUUACGACUUUUGAUCGAUCUUGGAUCUCGAUUUCACGAUGGCGGGGAGGAGCAGAAACUAUGGUUGACGCGGGACACUCUAACCUCCCGUUUUCUUUGAAAUUUUGUCCAUACAACAACCUCGAUUUUCUGGUUACUCGGCAUGUUUGUGGACAACGAUACUUUAAGCAAGCCAAAUAUGCAUUUCACAAGUUAGACAGAAAAUUUAGUCAAUUAAAGUUUGAGAUUCUUUUCGGGACUAUUACAUAACAUGUUUCUCCCAUAUUAUAUAACAUGCUUGUUAUCUUAUCUGUAUAAAGAAGCUUAGUUGUCUGGAACAUAUCAGUUUUACACCACAUUCCCCAUUAAUGGAGUUGUUUUAUCCACUGAUGAAAAUACGCUUUAAUAUUUAUUUCAAACUUAAGCUCAUGACGUGGUUUUUUUAUUCACAAACGCUGACUAUGUAAAAGUACAGUUACUUUUUACUGUCAAUUCCCAUUAGUUUCUCAGUUUCUUUACCUCAUACUACCAUCUACCCUGUACAAUUUUCUUGCUGAGAUCAGUAGAAGUUUCACCUGAUCUGCCGGGGCCGCACAAUCAGCAAAGGAUAAUGGAACUGAGAGAUCGGAAAAUUACUGGUUAUGAGAGAUUUGUUUGUGCUUCUGUAGCGGACCAAGCUGAUUGUCCAUUUAACAUGUUCUAUCAAAGUUCUACUGGAAAGAUUCACUCUGCUCCGAACCAUCAAGGAAAGAUUUCUUUUGAAGAGCCUUGUUCUGUCACCUUAAAGCGAAGCCCUGUUUUCUUUGGGUCCAUAUAUUCUAGAAAACAGUUUAGCCCUGAUUAGUCCAUGGAAAUUUCGUGGAGCGGCGACUCUUCCCCUUUAUGAUGGUCUUUGUUUAUGGUAUAGCCAAUAAUGCUAUUGAUUUAACUGAUCGAUUACAUGCUGCUCCAUCUAAAUCGUAAGUACGUCGGAAAAGGAGAAAAAUUCACUUUGAUGAUUAUCCUCUUUUUUUUGGAAUAUGAUUUCUUCUAAACUCGAAGAGCAUUUUAGGGCGAUUUUUUUAUGGUUGGAAAAUAAUCUUUAUUAAGUUGAAAGGUUCAUGUAAAAGGUGCAAGGAAAAUGAUGUGAUGGGAGUUGCCUCUUCUCUUCUACUGUUAUUCAAUCAAAUAAAUUGACAUUUUCUGUUUAUUUUUAG